UGGGGAAUUUUGGACAAUGGGGGAAACCCUGAUCCAGCCAUCCCGCGUGUGCGAUGAAGGCCUUCGGGUUGUAAAGCACUUUUGGCAGGAAAGAAACGUCGCGGGUUAAUACCCCGCGAAACUGACGGUACCUGCAGAAUAAGCACCGGCUAACUACGUGCCAGCAGCCGCGGUAAUACGUAGGGUGCAAGCGUUAAUCGGAAUUACUGGGCGUAAAGCGUGCGCAGGCGGUUCGGAAAGAAAGAUGUGAAAUCCCAGAGCUUAACUUUGGAAACAUGCAUUUUUAACUACCGGGCUAGAGUGUGUUCAGAGGGGAGGUGGAAUUCCGCGUGUAGCAGUGAAAUGCGUAGAUAUGCGGAGGAAACACCGAUGGCGAAGGCAGCCUCCUGGGAUAACACUGACGCUCAUGGCACGAAAGCGUGGGGAGCAAACAGGAUUAGA
Molecule: ribosomal RNA, 441 nt
Filed under: uncultured bacterium
Lineage: Bacteria
Description: partial 16S ribosomal RNA
Rfam family: Bacterial small subunit ribosomal RNA
Source: RNAcentral